Molecule: non-coding RNA, 181 nt
Filed under: Syntrophotalea acetylenivorans
Lineage: Bacteria; Pseudomonadati; Thermodesulfobacteriota; Desulfuromonadia; Desulfuromonadales; Syntrophotaleaceae
Description: Pelobacter sp. SFB93 6S / SsrS RNA
Rfam family: 6S / SsrS RNA
About the family: E. coli 6S RNA was the first non coding RNA to be sequenced, but its function was unknown until recently. It consists of 184 nucleotides that fold into an extended hairpin structure with a large single-stranded internal bulge.
Source: Rfam by way of RNAcentral
CCAUCUCUGGGGUGACCGGAGAUGCUUCUUAUAGUCGAUGACCAACAGUGAUGCCAUAAGCCCUCGACCUGGGUCAUGGUGAGCCAGCCCACCACGUAGUGGGACGCCUAAAGUGACUGUCGAGAGCAGAUGUAACAUAGCGGUCAUGAUUAAUGGAGGCUCCCGGCAUCCCGGAGAUGCC